GGUAUGAAGAAACAAUCCAACUUUGAAUGAUAUUUUUUUUAUUUCAGAAUAUGCCAGUUAAAUAUCUGGAUAGUUUUUUUUUUUUGCUGUUCAGUAUAUUUAUCAUUGCUAGCCUUGGAUAAGUCAAGUGUGCUCUAAAUCAUGAUUAAACUCGUAGGUUAUGUUUUAACAGUUAGUGCUACAGAAAAAAUGCAAACUAUUAUGUUUUAUAAUUGUUUGAAAUGUAUAUAUUUUCUUUCUAGUGCAACAGUCAUUCUGCUUAAAACUCCUUUUUGUCUGCCAGAGCUGAAAGCUGUAAGAAUAUUGGUCUUUUAGUCGUGGAUGUUGGCAAAAGUUGAUCUUUAUUGGAAUAUGUUAGCAUUUCUAACUUGCCAGAGUUAUCAUCAAUCAAUUAUUUUACUAUGAUAUGAAACUAUUUUAGUAUUAAUAUACUUUACAUCGACAUAAUUAGUUUUGAAAACAGUUUGCUGAAAAGUUUACCGUAAUUAAAAUUUUAACCUUAACUUCAAAAUGCACAUUAACUUGUGUUCUAACUAUUUAUGAAUAGAUAUAUUUGUUUACAGUGAAUCAGUCAUUGUGUUAGACUGCAUUUUUUGGCUCCAAGAGCUGAAAGAAUUAAUACUUUUUGACAACAUCUAGUGGAAUGUUUAGUCAUGGAUGUUCAUCAUAAUUGAUAUUCAUUUGGAUUGUAAUGUUACCAAAUCGAUUUCUUUGUUUUAAUUGAGUUUGGCAAUUAUUUGUACACGUUAUGGUUAUGGUUGAACCAGUUAUCACUAAAGAAUGGUUUAUUUUUGAUUUUACUGCAAAAUGAUACAAGAUCAGAGAAAUAAAUCACACGUACAGCAAUGGACUCUGCGUAGAACACACACCUCUUGAGUUUGUAUAGGAAAUAGAAGCAAACAUUUUCCGAGUCAUAUACACAACAUUUCAGAACAUAAAACAAAAAGUUCAGUAUCAUCUGAAAUAAAAUGAUUUGUGAUUUCUCAUUGAGCUUAAUAAAACUUUAAAAGUAAUGAAUGGAAUUCCAAGUGUGCCAUACAGAAUAGGAAAUAUGCCUUCGUUACAGAAAAUGAAAGCACAAAACAUGAACCAAAGAGAACAUGCAACGUGCAAAAAGAAAUGUAAUGUGUAAAAGAAAUUCUCAUCCUUUCAGUUUAUAGUUAUUGAAGACAGAUCCAAGUGAAGUUCAACAUGAGAGUCCCAAAGUUGAUUCAUUGAAGGCCAAAUGAAAUUGAAAAUCUGGAAAAAGGAAGCCUGAUUUCGUGGACUGAAAUUCUAGAUGUCUAGGAAUGAUUUGUUUUUAGCUCUCCUUAGCACGAAAUGCUCUAGAUGAGCUUUUGUGAUCGCCCUGUGUGUGUCCUUUGUUAGCUCUCUUGAUCAAUGCUGUUCAGGUGAGUUUUUCUGCUUGCUAGAUGUCCGGCGUCCGUCGUCUGUCGUCUGUUGUCUGCCUGUCGUCUGUCGUUCGUCAACAUUUAGCUUGUGUAUGCUCUAGCUGUAUUUUUCAACUGAUCUUCAUGACAUUUCGUCAUUUUGAAUAUCUAGAUGAAAUCUAGGCCGAGUUUGAAAAUAGGUCAUCUGGGUCAAAAACUAUGUCACUAGGUCAAAUCAAGGAAAAGCCUUGUGUAUGCGAUAGAGGCUCUUUUUUUUUCAACUGAUCUUCAUGAAUUUUUGUCAUAAUGAUUGCAUUGAUAAAAUCUAGGCCGAGUUCGAAAAUGGGUCAUAUGGGGUCAAAAACUAGGUCACUAGGUCAUAUCAAGUUAAAAAGUUCUGUAUGCGAUAGAGGCUGUAUUUUUCAAUUGAUCUUCGUUAAUUUUGGUCAGAAUGAUAACCUUGAUAAAAUCUAGUCCAAGUUCGAAAAUGGUCAUCUGGAGUCAAAAACUAGGUCACUAGAUCAAAUCAAAGGAAAACAUUGUGUAUCCCAUAGAGGCUGUAUUUUACAAAAGAUCUUUGUGAAUUUUGGUCAGAAUGGUUGCCUUGAUAAAAUCUAGGGCAGGUUGGAAUAUGGGUCAUCUGGGGUCAUAAACAUGUCACUAGGUCAAAUCAAAGAAAAAACCUUGUGUAUGUGACAGAGGCUGUAUUUUUCAAUUGAUCUUCAUGAAAUUUGGUCAGAAUGAUUGCAUUGAUAAAAUCUAGAUCAAGUUAGAUGAUGGGUUAUCUGGGGUUAAAAACUAGGUCAUUUGGUCAAAUCAAAGUAAAACCUUAUGUAUGCGAGAGAGGCUGUAUUUUUCAAUUGAUCUUCGUGAAAUCUGGUCAGUAUGAUUGCCUUGAUAAAAUGAAGGUCAAAUUUGAAUAUGGAUAAUCUUGGAUCAAAAACUAGGUCACUAGGUCAUAUCAAAUAAAUUCCUUGUUUAAACUCAGGAGACCACAUUUUUGGUCCAAUUCUAAUGAAAAUUGGCCUGAAUAUUUGUUUCCAUGAAAUCCCUAGUUACACUGUUAUGGUGUGUUUCUGAGGUGGGCGACCUAGGUCCAUCUUGGCCCUCUUGUCAACAAUUUGGCUGUUAACACAUUAAAUGUCAUAUAUUGGCCUAAUCUUAAUGAAACUUUGUCAGAAUGUUAUCCUCAAUACAAUCUUGGACAAGUUCCAUAUUGGGUCAUCUGGGGUCAAACACUAAAUCACAAGUCAAAUUGGGUCAUCUGGGGUAAAAAGCUUGUUAUUACUAGAAUGGCCACAUUUAUGUUAAUAUCUCUUUUGAAACUUACUGGGUCAUCUGUAGUCAAAAACUAGGUCACGAGGUCAAGGAAAAGCCUAACACCCUAAAGAGACAUAAUUUAAAGUUUGAAAUGAGAAUUAAACAGAAUGUUUGUCUUGAUGACCUCUUGGCCAAGAUUAAAUAUUGGUCAUGUGGGGUAAAAGAUAGGUCACCAGUUCAAAUCACAGGUUUAGGAUUUACACUUCAGAUAUCAUAUUUAGUUGGUCAGAAUAUUAUUCUUUCUGAUCUUUAGGUCAAGUUAGAAUCUGGGUAAUGUUGGUACAAAAGUAGGUCACAAUGUCAAAUCUGAAGAAACGCUAGUUAACACUCUAGAGUACAUAUUUAUGACCCUAUCUUCACGAAAACUGGUCUGUCUGAAUGUUAUUAUUGAAGAUCAUUAGGUCAUGUUUGAUUCUAGGUCAUAUGGGGUCAAAAACUUUGCCACUAGUUCAAAUCAAAUGAAAAGCUAGUUAACACUCUAGAGCUUUCAUUUAUGACCACAUCUUUAUGAAACUUGGUCAAAAUGUUAUUAUUGAUGAUCUAUAGGUCAAGCUUGAAUCUGGGUCAUGUGGGGUGAAAUACUAGGUCUCCAGGUAAAAUCAAUGGGAAAGCUUGUUAACUCUCUAGAGUCCAUAUUCAUGAUCAUAUCUUCAUGGAACUUGUUCAGAAUGUUUAUCUUAGUGAUCUUUAGUUUAAGUUUACAUCUUGGUCAGGUGAUGUUAAAAACUAGGUCUCCAUGUCAAAUCAAAGGAAAAGCUUGUUUACGCUCUAAGAGUCCAUAUUUAUGACCCUAUUAUCAUGAACCUUGAACAGAAUGUUGAUCUUGAUGAUCUUAAGGUCAAGUUUGAAUUUGGAUCAAGUGAGGUCAAAAACUAGGUAUCCAGGUCAAACCUUAGUAAAGCUUGUAAACUCUAUAGAGUCCAUAUUAUUGACCCUUUCAGUAUGGAACUUGGUCAGAACUUUUUGUCUUGAUGAUGUUUACACUAAAUUCGAAUUUUGGUUGUACUUUUCCAAUUUAAAACAACACCCUGCUUUUUGGAGCGCUAGAAUAACACUCGUAUAAAACUCAAGAAGAAGUCAAGAAGUACCUUCAUGAAACUUCGUCAAAAUUUUGGUCUCUUUGAAAUCAAUACCAGCUUUGAUUCUAACAUAUCAGGUGUUAGUAUUAGGUCAGGUGAGCGAUACAGGUCCUUCAGGGCCCACUUGUUUAUUAACACAAUCUUAAAUAAAACACAUUUCUGCAAGUA
Mercenaria mercenaria is the source of this 3937-nucleotide long non-coding RNA. RefSeq lists it as uncharacterized. The record is from RefSeq and is a predicted model, not a curated record. NCBI's taxonomy places the organism in Eukaryota, Metazoa, Mollusca, Bivalvia, Venerida, Veneridae. The transcript is spliced from 3 exons.